RNAcentral lists this ribosomal RNA (426 nucleotides) under uncultured Sphingomonadales bacterium. Its description in RNAcentral is "bacterial SSU rRNA". It matches the Rfam family "Bacterial small subunit ribosomal RNA", at positions 933 to 1359 of the family's 1533-position model. Lineage: Bacteria; Pseudomonadati; Pseudomonadota; Alphaproteobacteria; Sphingomonadales. The record is from RNAcentral.
UGGAGCAUGUGGUUUAAUUCGAAGCAACGCGAAGAACCUUACCAGGUCUUGACAUCCUCUGACAACUCUGGAGACAGAGCGUUCCCCUUCGGGGGACAGAGUGACAGGUGGUGCAUGGUUGUCGUCAGCUCGUGUCGUGAGAUGUUGGGUUAAGUCCCGCAACGAGCGCAACCCUUGUCAUUAGUUGCUACAUUCAGUUGGGCACUCUAAUGAGACUGCCGGUGACAAACCGGAGGAAGGUGGGGAUGACGUCAAGUCCUCAUGGCCCUUAUAGGUGGGGCUACACACGUCAUACAAUGGCUGGUACAAAGGGUUGCCAACCCGCGAGGGGGAGCUAAUCCCAUAAAACCAGUCGUAGUCCGGAUCGCAGUCUGCAACUCGACUGCGUGAAGUCGGAAUCGCUAGUAAUCGUGGAUCAGAAUGUCA